AACGAACGCUGGCGGCAUGCCUAACACAUGCAAGUCGAACGAGACCUUCGGGUCUAGUGGCGCACGGGUGCGUAACGCGUGGGAAUCUGCCCUUGGGUUCGGAAUAACAGUUGGAAACGACUGCUAAUACCGGAUGAUGACGUAAGUCCAAAGAUUUAUCGCCCAGGGUUGAGCACGCGUAGGAUUAGCUCGUUGGUGGGGUAAAGGCCUACCAAGGCGACGAUCCUUAGCUGGUCUGAGAGGAUGAUCAGCCACACUGGGACUGGGACACGGCCCAGACUCCUACGGGAGGCAGCAGUGGGGAAUAUUGGACAAUGGGCGGAAGCCUGAUCCAGCAAUGCCGGGUGAGUGAUGAAGGCCUUAGGGUUGUAAAGCUCUUUUACCCGGGAUGAUAAUGACAGUACCGGGAGAAUAAGCCCCGGCUAACUCCGUG
Molecule: ribosomal RNA, 433 nt
Filed under: uncultured bacterium
Lineage: Bacteria
Description: partial 16S ribosomal RNA
Rfam family: Bacterial small subunit ribosomal RNA
Source: RNAcentral